GACCGCAUGGCCUAAUGGAUAUGGCGUUUGACUUCGAAUCAGAAGAUUGAGGGUUCGAGUCCCUCUGUGGUCU
Molecule: non-coding RNA, 73 nt
Organism: Ciona savignyi (Pacific transparent sea squirt)
Lineage: Eukaryota; Metazoa; Chordata; Ascidiacea; Phlebobranchia; Cionidae
Source: Rfam